Molecule: ribosomal RNA, 507 nt
Filed under: uncultured bacterium
Lineage: Bacteria
Description: bacterial SSU rRNA
Rfam family: Bacterial small subunit ribosomal RNA
Source: RNAcentral
GACUAGAGAUAGUCCUUUCUCUUCGGAGACCUCGGUGACAGGUGGUGCAUGGUUGUCGUCAGCUCGUGUCGUGAGAUGUUGGGUUAAGUCCCGCAACGAGCGCAACCCUUAUUGUUAGUUGCUACGCAAGAGCACUCUAGCGAGACUGCCGUUGACAAAACAGAGGAAGGUGGGGACGACGUCAAAUCAUCAUGCCCCUUAUGUCCUGGGCCACACACGUACUACAAUGGUGGUAAACAGAGGGAAGCAAGACCGCGAGGUGGAGCAAAUCCCUAAAAGCCAUCCCAGUUCGGAUCGCAGGCUGCAACCCGCCUGCGUGAAGUUGGAAUCGCUAGUAAUCGCGGAUCAGCAUGCCGCGGUGAAUACGUUCCCGGGCCUUGUACACACCGCCCGUCACACCAUGAGAGUCGGGAACACCCGAAGUCCGUAGCCUAACCGCAAGGGGGGCGCGGCCGAAGGUGGGUUCGAUAAUUGGGGUGAAGUCGUAACAAGGUAGCCGUAUCGGAA